This 406-nucleotide ribosomal RNA is filed under the name uncultured bacterium. RNAcentral's name for it is "partial 16S ribosomal RNA". It matches the Rfam family "Bacterial small subunit ribosomal RNA", at positions 30 to 526 of the family's 1533-position model. The record is from RNAcentral.
AUUGAACGCUGGCGGCAGGCCUAACACAUGCAAGUCGAGCGAGCGGCGGACGGGUGAGUAAUGUAUGGGGAACUGCCCGAUAGAGGGGGAUAACUACUGGCAACGGUGGCUAAUACCGCAUACUAUCGGAUGAACCCAUAUGGGAUUAGCUAGUAGGUGGGGUAAAGGCUCACCUAGGCGACGAUCUCUAGCUGGGCUGAGAGGAUGAUCAGCCACACUGGUACGGAGACACGGCCCAGACUCCUACGGUAGGCAGCAGUAGGGAAUAGUGCGCAAUGGGCACAAGCCUGAUGCAGCCAUGCCGCGUGGGUGAAGAAGGCCUUAGGGUUGUAAAGUACUUUCAGCGGGGAGGUGUUACCCGCAGAAGAAGCACCGGCUAACUCCGUGCCAGCAGCCGCGGUAAUAC